UACGUAGGGUGCAAGCGUUGUCCGGAAUUAUUGGGCGUAAAGAGCUCGUAGGCGGUCUGUCGCGUCUGGUGUGAAAACUCAGGGCUUAACCCUGAGCUUGCAUCGGGUACGGGCAGACUAGAGUGCGGUAGGGGAGACUGGAAUUCCUGGUGUAGCGGUGAAAUGCGCAGAUAUCAGGAGGAACACCCGUAGCGAAGGCGGCACUCUGGGCCGAUACUGACACUGAGGAGCGAAAGCGUGGGGAGCGAACAGG
Molecule: ribosomal RNA, 253 nt
Filed under: uncultured bacterium
Lineage: Bacteria
Description: partial 16S ribosomal RNA
Rfam family: Bacterial small subunit ribosomal RNA
Source: RNAcentral